AUUCCAUGACAAUUUAGACCUAAAAAUAUUGUUUCUACUCUAAUGGAAAACAAAAAUAACCUCAAAUGAUGUUCUGAAUGGACCGAUCCAGUAAGCCCCGCCCCAUGGUAUUCUGACCAAUCACAGCCGUGAUUUAUGUCCGACAUGCGUGCACAAAAGUCCGACAUACAUGCACGCGUGUAUGAUGCGCGCGGCAGGAAAAUGCAGGGUGGCAUUGGAGAGGAGCACGUGUUAAUUUGCCCACGUGCGCAGUGGGAGGGGCUUACUGGAUCGGUCCAUUAGGGUUCAUUGCUUAAAGGCUUUUGGUCAACUAACCCCUGGGCUUCAACACCUCAGCUUUCUCCCCCCCCCCCCCCACCCCACCCCUUCAAAACUCCUGGGGUCGCUACUGAUAGACUGGUCUUGUCUUAUACGACAACACUCUUCACAGUCUAUGUUACACUGCAAGACUAACAAGAAUAAAAGAAUGGGUUUAUCAGCAGUGGGCCCUUAACAUGCCUUCUCGGCGAGAAACUUAACAUGUUAUUUCAGGAACUCUUCUUGUGGUUUUUGUAACUUUUAACUAGGCUUACUUUUACUUUUAAGCUUGUAAGAAUACUCAACAUACUUGAAAUUGACCUUUUUUUCUUGUCACGUUGGCAACCUCUCCAUAACUAAUCAGGGGUCAGCGUACUUUCCAACCACGGAGUAGGAUUUGGAUGCCUACUUGAUCUUCCUUGGCCUGAUGAUUCCCUUAACGGCAAAACUCUCAAAGGUAGACUACAGCGUUGAUACCACUUGUUUCUUCAAGUUGCUCGGUUCACAGCUUAGUGAGAAAUGAUAUUGACAACUUCUGCCUUAAUAAUCAUACUUUCCAACCACGCUGUCGGUAAAACGAAAGUCUAGUACUCCCCGACUGGCAAACCACUGGUUUUGUCAGUCCUCUUCGCCGUUUAGGACUCCUGGGUUACAGUGCUACUCUACUCUUAGAGUAAGCUACUCUUACCUUCUUCAACAAUAGCAUGAUGAUUGCGACUCAAGCUGGUCUUUGGGGAUGAGGUUAAUUAACAAAGUGUAUCGAUUGAGAACCAUUACGUUGAUCUUACCAGCUGUUGCAGCACCUUUCUUUGUCAAUUCCUCUAGGAGACUUCUGGAGACGUGUCAGGAACUCUUGGGGCGUCUUUCCCUUCUUUCCCCUCAUGGUGCAUCUUGCGAAAAGAGUGUCUUUGGUUUAUGUGAGAGGGGAAUCCGAACAAUGACUGUGCCUCUGGUGCGAAUGGAUGUCUUGGUUUGAGGCGGGGUUGUCUGGCUUCUUCAGUGAUGACCAUACACGAGUAUUACUUGGGAGUCACUCUACUGAGACACCCACGCCUUCCUUCUAAUAACAAUCUUCUCAAUAAUUACCUCUGUUGUAUUAAUGUUCUUCUCAAUCCAAAUGAGAAGGGCUGCCAAAUGGAUAGCUUGCGAGUUGAAUUGGGACUGGAAGCUCAGGUGAUGAACUUGCAGGGACUUAGCUUGCAGAUACUUGUGAUGAAAUUGACUAUAUCCCUGCAGGGUUUGGCUACUAUUGCCUAUCGGAAGACUGGUCCAGGCACCCGUCGAGCUACUCAUACCUUCUUCAACAGUACCAUGAUGAUUGCAAAUCAAGUUGGUCUUUGGGGAUGAGGUUUAUUAACAAAGUGUAUCGAUUGAGAACCAUUAGGUUGAUCUUACCAGCUGUUGCAGCACCUCUCUUUGUCAAUUUCUCUAGGAGACUUCUGGAGACGUGGCAGGAACUUUGGGGCUUCUUUCCCUUCUCCCCCUCGUGGUGCAUCUUGCGAAACGGAGUGUCUUUGGUUUUUGUGAGAGGUGACAUCGGAUGAAGACUUGCACAUUCUGUGUCACAUAUCUAAAACUGUCUGAAUGGUGGUUUUGCAUUUUUGCACCAGACCGCCAGGCUGCAGUUGUACGAGCUGACCUUACUCGAGUCAUACCGUGGUCAUAUCAAGUUGUGCCUUUUUGAUCUUGAUGGUCUUAAAACAACACUUUCCCAGUGUGAAGCAUGUAACGGACUAUGUAAGAAACAAACUAACCUCCACCUGCCGACCUCUGACCUCAAGAGUUCUGUUACUUAUAAACUAUGCUGUUUGGUCAAUACUGUCGGUUUCCGCUUUCACCCAGUGCUUAUGGAUGUGUUUCAGGGAUGUCCAUUCACGAGUCAGGAUCAAGAAACAGUGGGUGAACAACAACAAAGGAAUGCCUUUGUCAAUUCGAAUAGCUUGAGUGUUGAAUUGGGACUGGAAGAGACUGGUGAUGAACGUGCAGGGACUUAGCUUGCAGAUACUUGUAUACUAUAUCCCUGCAGUCUUUGGCUACUAUAGGAAGACUGGUUCAGGCACCCGUCAAGCUACUCACACCUUCUUCAACAGUACCAUAAUGAUUGCAACUCAAGUUGGUCUUUGGGGGUGAGGUUCAUUAACAAAGUGUAUCGAUUGAGAACCAUUAGGUUGAUCUUACCAGCUGUUGCAGCACCUCUCUUUGUCAAUUUCUCUAGGAGACUUCUGGAGACGUGUCAGGAACUCUUGGGGCGUCUUUCCCUUCUCUCCCCACAUGGUGCAUCUUGCAAAAAGAGUGUCUUUGGUUUAUUUGAGAGGGUACUCCGAACAGUUUUCCGGCUUCUUCAGUGAUGGCCAUACACGAGUAUUACUUGGGAGUCACUCUACUUAAGACAGCCCGCGCCUUCCUUCUAAUAACAAUUUUCUCAAUAAUUACCUCUGUUGUAUCAAUGUUCUUCUCAAUCCAAAUGAGAAGGGCUGCCAAAUGGAUAGCUUGCGAGUUGAAUUGGGACUGGAAGCUCAGGUGAUGAACUUGCAGGGACUUAGCUUGCAGAUACUUGUGAUGAAAUCGACUACAUCCCUGCAGGGUUUUGCUACCAGUGCCUAUAGGAACACUGGUCCAGGCACCCGUCAAGCUACUCAUACCUUCUUCAACAGUACCAUGAUGAUUGUAACUCAAGUUGGUCUUUGGGGAUGAGGUUUAUUAACAAAGUGUAUCGAUUGAGAAACAUUAGGUUGAUCUUACCAGCUGUUGCAGCACCUUUCUUUGUCAAUUUCUCUAGGAGACUUCUGGAGACGUGGCAGGAACUUUGGGGCUUCUUUCCCUUCUCCCCCUCAUGGUGCAUCUUGCGAAACGGAGUGUCUUUGGUUUAUGUGACAGGUGACAUCGGAUGAAGACUUGCACAUUCUGUGUCACAUAUCUAAAACUGUCUGAAUGGUGGUUUUGCAUUUUUGCACCAGACCGCCAGGCUGCAGUCUUACGAGCUUACCUUAUUGAGUCAUAAAGUGGUCAUAUCAAGUUGUGCCUUUUUGAUCUGGAUGGUCUUAAAACAACACUUUCCCAGUGUGAAACAUGUAACGGACUAUGUAAGAAACAAACUAACCUCCACCUGCCGACCUCUGACGUCACAGUUCUGUUUCUUACAAACUAUGCUGUUGGGUCGAUUCUGUUGGUUUCCCCUUACACCCAGUGUUGUAUGGAUGUGUUUCAGGGAUGUCCGUUCACGAGUCAGGAUCAAGAAACAGUGGGUGAACAAUAACAAAGGAAUGCCUUUGUCAAUUUGAAUAGCUUGCGAGUUGAAUUGGGACUGGAAGAGACUGGUGAUGAACUUGCAGGGACUUAGAUUGCAGAUACUUGUAUACUAUAUCCCUGCAGUCUUUGGCUACUAUAGGAAGACUGGUUCAGGCACCCGUCAAGCUACUCUUACCUUCUUCAACAAUACCAUGAUGAUUGCAACUGAAGUUGGUCUUUGGGGAUGAGGUUUAUUAACAAAGUGUAUCGAUUGAGAACCAUUAGGUUGAUCUUGCCAGCUGUUGGAGCACCUUUCUUUGUCAAUUCCUCUAGGAGACUUCUGGAGACAUGUCAGGAACUCUUGGGGCGUCUUUCCCUUCUCUUCCAACAUGGUGCAUCUUGCGAAAAGAGUGUCUUUGGUUUAUGUGAGAGGGGAAUCCGAACAACUGUGCCUCUGGUGCGAAUGGAUGCCUUGGUUUGAGUCGGGGUUGUCCGGCUUCUUCAGUGAUGACCAUACAUGAGUAUUACUUGGGAGUCACUCUACUUGAGACAGCCCGCGACUUCCUUCCAAUAACAAUCUUCUCAAUAGUUACCUCUGUUGUAUUAAUGUUCUUCUCAAUCCAAACGAGAAGGGCUGCCAAAUGGAUAGCUUCCGAGUUGAAUUGGGACUGGAAGCUCAGGUGAUGAACUUGCAGGGACUUAGCUUGCAGAUACUUGUGAUGAAAUCGACUAUAUCCCUGCAGGGUUUGGCUAACAGUGCCUAUAGGAAAACUGGUCUAGGCACCCGUCAAGCUACUCGUACCUUCUUCAACAGUACCAUGAUGAUUGCAACUGAAGUUGGUCUUUGGGGAUGAGGUUUAUUAACAAAGUGUAUCGAUUGAGAACCAUUAGGUUGAUCUUACCAGCUGUGGCAGCACCUUUCUUUGUCAAUUCCUCUAGGAGACUUCUGGAGAUGUGGCAGGAACUCUUGGGGCGUCUUUCCCUUCUCUUCCAACAUGGUGCAUCUUGCGAAAAGAGUGUCUUUGGUUUAUGUGAGAGGGGAAUCUGAACAACUGUGCCUCUGGUGCGAAUGGAUGCCUUGGUUUGAGGCGGGGUUGUCCGGCUUCUUCAGUGAUGACCAUACACGAGUAUUACUUGGGAGUCACUCUACUUGAGACAGCCCGCGACUUCCUUCCAAUAACAAUCUUCUCAAUAAUUACCUCUGUUGUAUUAAUGUUCUUCUCAAUUCAAAUGAGAAGGGCUGCCAAAUGGAUAGCUUCCGAGUUGAAUUGGGACUGGAAGCUCAGGUGAUGAACUUGCAGGGACUUAGCUUGCAGAUACUUGUGAUGAAAUCGACUAUAUCCCUGCAGGGUUUGGCUACCAUUGCCUAUAGGAAGACUGGUCCAGGCACCCGUUGAGCUACUCAUACCUUUUCCAACAGUACCAUGAUGAUUGCAACUCAAGUUGGUCUUCGGGGAUGAGGUUUAUUAACAAAGUGUAUCGAUUGAGAACCAUGAGGUUGAUCUUACCAGCUGUUGCAGCACCUCUCUUUGUCAAUUCCUCUAGGAGACUUCUGGAGACGUGGCAGGAACUUUUGGGGCUUCUUUCCCUUCUCCCCCUCAUGGUGCAUCUUGCAAAACGGAGUGUCUUUGGUUUUUGUGAGAGGUGACUUCGAAUGAAGACUUGCACAUUCUGUGUCACAUAUCUGAAACUGUCUGAAUGGUGGUUCUGCAUUUUUGCACCAGACCGCCAGGCUGCAGUUGUACGAGCUGAUCUUACCCGAGUCAUACCAAGUUGUGCCUUUUUGAUCUGGAUGGCCUUUGGGGGCUUUUUUUCCUUCUCCCCCGUCAUGGUGCAUCUUGUGAAAAGAGUGUUUUUGGUUUAUGUAAGAGGUGACUUCGGAUAAAGACUGUGCCUCUUGUGCAAAUGGAUGCCUUGGUUCGAUGCAGGGUUGUCCGGCUUCUUCAGUGAUGACCAUACACGAGUAUUACUUGGGAGUCACUCUACUUAAGACAGCCCACACCACCUUCUAAUAGCAAUCUUCUCGAUAAUUACCUCUGUUGUUUUAGUGUUCUUCUCAAUCCAAAUGAGAAGGGCUGCCAAAUAAUGGCACCUGUCUGUUUACCAACUUAAACGUUAGAAGAGAUAUUUUCUAGCAGUUACUAGGAUCUACACCUCCACUUUGUGUAUCUUCGCUUUUUCAUCGAAGCUUGAAUCUUUCCAAUCAUGAGACACCAGACUGGCAGGCUGACCUUACUCGAGUCAUACCGUGGUCAUACCAAGUUGUGCCUUUUUGAUCUGGAUGGUCUUAAAACAACACUUGCCCAGUGUGAAGCAUGUAACGGGCUACGUAAAUAAUACCCUGCACCUGCCGACCUCAGACCUCAGAGUUCUGUUUCUUACAAACUAUGCUGUUGAGUCAAUUCUGUUGGUUUCCGCUUACACCCAGUGUUGUAUGGAUGUGUUUCGGGGAUGUCCGUUCACUAGUCCGGAUCAAGAAACAGUGGAUGAACAAUAACGAAAAAAAAUGCCUUUGUCAAUUUGAAUAGCUUGCAAGUUGAAUUGGGACUGGAAGACUGGUGAUGAACUUGCAGGGACUUAUCUUACAGAUACUUGUGAUGAAAUCGACUAUAUCCCUGCAGGGUUUGGCUACCAGUGCCUAUAGGAAGACUGGUCCAGGCACCCGCAAAGCUACUCUUACCUUCUUCAACAGUGUCAAGUAGCGUGACGAUUGCGACUCAAGUCGGUCUUUGGGGAUGAGAUUUAUUAACAAAUUGUUUCGAUUGAGAACCAUUAGGUUGAUCCUACCAGCUGUUGCAGCACCUUUCCUUGUCAAUUCCUCUAGGAGACUUCUGGAGACGUGUCAGGAACUCUGGGGGCAUCUUUCCCUUCUCCCCCUCGUGGUGCAUCUUGCAAAACAGUGUCUUUGGUUUAUGUGACAGGUGACUUCGGAUGAAGACUUGCACAUUCUGUGUCACAUAUCUGAAACUGUCAAAGAGUGUCUUUGGUUUAUGUGAGAGGGGACUCCGAACAGUUGUCCGGCUUCUUCAGUGAUGACCAUACACGAGUAUUACUUGGGAGUCACUCUACUUAAGACAGCCCGUACCUUCCUUUUAAUAACAAUCUUCUCAAUAAUUACCUCUGUUGUAUUAAUGUUCUUCUCAGUCAUAAUGAGAACGGCUGCCAAAUGGAUAGCUUCCGAGUUGAAUUGGGACUGGGAGCUCAGGUGAUGAACUUGCAGGGACUUAGCGUGCAGAUUCUUGUGAUGAAAUCGACUACAUCCCUGCAGGGUUUGGCUACCAGUGCCUAUAGGAAGACUGGUCCAGGCACCCGUCAAGCUACUCGUACCUUCUUCAACAGUACCAUGAUGAUUGCAACUCAAGUUGUUCUUUGGGGAUGAGGUUUAUUAACAAAGUGUAUCGAUUGAGAACCAUUAGGUUGAUCUUACCAGCUGUUGCAGCACCUCUCUUUGUCAAUUUCUCUAGGAGACUUCUGGAGACGUGGCAGGAACUUUGGGGCUUCUUUCCCUUCUCCCCCUCGUGGUGCAUGUUGUGAAACGGAGUGUCUUUGGUUUUUGUGCCAGGUGACAUCGAAUGAAGACUUGCACAUUCUUUGUCACAUAUCUGAAACUGUCUGAAUGGUGGUUUUGCAUUUUUGCACCAGACCGCCAGGCUGCAGUUGUACGAGCUGACCUUACUUGAGUCAUACCGUGGUCAUAUCAAGUUGUGCCUUUUUGAUCUGGAUGGUCUUAAAACAACACUUGCCCAGUGUGAAGCAUUGAACGGGCUACGUAAAAAACGAACCUGUACCUGCCGACCUGCUGUUGGGUUGAUUCUGUUGGUUUCCGCUUACACCCUUGUUGUAUGGAUGUGUUUCAGGGAUGUCCGUUCACAAGUCCGGAUCAAGAAACAGUGGAUAAACAAUUACAAAGGAAUGCCUUUGUCAAUUUGAAUAGCUUGCGAGUUGAAUUGGGACUGGAAGACUGAUGAUGAACUUGCAGUGACCUAUACCUUGCAGAUACUUCUGAUGAAAUUGACUACAACCCUGCAAGGUUUGGCUACCAGUGCCUAUAGGAAGACUGGUCCAAGCACCCGUCAAGCUAUUCUUACCUUCUUCAACAGUAGCAUGAUGAUUGCGACUCAAGUUGGCCUUUGGGGAUGAGGUUUAUUAACAAAGUGUAUCGAUUAAGAACCAUUAUUAUCUGUUGCAGUCUCCUCCCUAGAAGACUUCUGGAGACGUGUCAGGAACUCUGGGGUCUUCUUUCACUUCUCCCUCUCGUGGUGCAUCUUGCGAAAGAGUGUCUUUGGUUUAUGUGAGAGCUGACUUUGGAUAAAGAGUAUUUGGUUUAUGUGAGAGUUGACUUCGGAUAAAGACUUGCAGAUUCUGUGUCACAUAUCUGAAAAUGUCUUAUGUGACAGGUGACAUCGAAUAAAGACUUGCACAUUUUGUGUCACAUAUCUGAAACUGUUGAGACUUCUGGGGACGUGUCUGGAACUCUAGGGGCUUCUUUCCCGUCUCCCCCUCGUGGUGCAUCUUGCAAAAGAGUGUCUUUGGUUUGUGUGACAGGUGACUUCGAAUGAAGACUUGCAGAUUCUGUGUCACAUAUCUGAAACUGUCUGAAUGGUGAUUUUGCAUUUAAAAGGCUACUUUAAAAGUUUGAAUUGAGAAAGAUAUUAAGUCCAUAGGACAAAAAUAACGAGAAUGGUAUGAAGUCCAUAGGACAAAAUAAUGAGAAAGGUAUUAGGUCCAUAGAACAAAAAUAAUGAGAAAGGUAUUAAGUCCCUAGAACAAAAAUAAUGCGAAAAGAGUGUCGUUGGUUUAUGUGAGAGGGGACUCCGAACAGUGACUGUGCCUCUGGUGCGAAUGGAUGUCUUGGUUUGAGGCGGGGUUGUCCGGCUUCUUCAGUGAUGACCAUACACGAGUAUUACUUUGGAGUCACUCUACUUAAGACAGCCCGCGCAUUCCUUCAAAUAGCAAUCUCCUCAACAAUUAACUCUGUUGUAUUAAUGUUCUUCUCAAUCCAAAUGAGAAGGGCUGCCAAAUGGAUAGCUUGCGAGUUGAAUUGGGACUGGAAGGUCAGGUGAUGAACUUGCAGGGACUUAGCUUGCAGAUACUUGUGAUGAAUUCGACUACAUCCCCGCAGGGUUUUGCUACCAGUGCCUAUAGGAAGACUGGUCCAGGCACCCGUCAAGCUACUCAUACCUUCUUCAACAGUUCCAUGAUGAUCGCAACUCAAGUUGUUCUUUGGGGAUGAGGUUUAUUAACAAAGUGUAUCGAUUGAGAACCAUUAGGUUGAUCUUACCAGCUGAUGCAGCACCUCUCUUUGUCAAUUUCUCUAGGAGACUUCUGGAGACGUGGCAGGAACUUUGGGGCUUCUUUCCCUUCUCCCCCUCGUGGUGCAUCUUGCGAAACGGAGUGUCUUUGGUUUUUGUGCCAGGUGACAUCGAAUGAAGACUUGCACAUUCUUUGUCACAUAUCUGAAACUGUCUGAAUGGUGGUUUUGCAUUUUUGCACCAGACUGCCAGGCUGCAGUUGUACGAGCUGACCUUACUUGAGUCAUACCGUGGUCAUAUCAAGUUGUGCCUUUUUGAUCUGGAUGGUCUUAAAACAACACUUGCCCAGUGUGAAGCAUUGAACGGGCUACGUAAAAAACGAACCUGUACCUGCCGACCUGCUGUUGGGUCGAUUCUGUUGGUUUCCGCUUACACCCAUUAUUGUAUGGAUGUGUUUCAGGGAUGUCCGUUCACAAGUCCGGAUCAAGAAACAGUGGAUAAACAAUUACAAAGGAAUGCCUUUGUUAAUUUUAAUAGCUUGCGAGUUGAAUUGGGACUGGAAGACUGAUGAUGAGCUUGCAGUGACCUAUACCUUGCAGAUACUUGUGAUGAAAUUGACUACAGCCCUGCAAGGUUUGGCUACCAGUGCCUAUAGGAAGACUGGUCCAAGCACCCGUCAAGCUAUUCUUACCUUCUUCAACAGUAGCAUGAUGAUUGCGACUCAAGUUGGCCUUUGGGGAUGAGGUUUAUUAACAAAGUGUAUCGAUUAAGAACCAUUAUUAUCUGUUGCAGUCUCCUCCCUAGAACACAUCUGGAGACGUGUCAGGAACUCUGGGGUCUUCUUUCACUUCUCCCUCUUGUGGUGCAUCUUGCGAAAGAGUGUCUUUGGUUUAUGUGAGAGCUGACUUUGGAUAAAGAGUAUUUGGUUUAUGUGAGAGUUGACUUCGGAUAAAGACUUGCAGAUUCUGUGUCACAUAUCUGAAAAUGUCUUAUGUGACAGGUGACAUCGAAUAAAGACUUGCACAUUUUGUGUCACAUAUCUGAAACUGUUGAGACUUCUGGGGACGUGUCUGGAACUCUAGGGGCUUCUUUCCCGUCUCCCCCUCGUGGUGCAUCUUGCAAAAGAGUGUCUCUGGUUUGUGUGACAGGUGACUUUGAAUGAAGACUUGCAGAUUCUGUGUCACAUAUCUGAAACUGUCUGAAUGGUGAUUUUGCAUUUAAAAGGCUACUUUAAAAGUUUGAAUUGAGAAAGAUAUUAAGUCCAUAGGACAAAAAUAACGAGAAUGGUAUGAAGUCCAUAGGACAAAAUAAUGAGAAAGGUAUUAAGUCCAUAGAACAAAAAUAAUGAGAAAGGUUUUAAGUCCCUAGGACAAAAAUAAUGCGAAAAGAGUGUCUUUGGUUUAUGUGAGAGGGGACUCCGAACAGUGACUGUGCCUCUGGUGCGAAUGGAUGUCUUGGUUUGAGGCGGGGUUGUCCGGCUUCUUCAGUGAUGACCAUACACGAGUAUUACUUUGGAGUCACUCUAUUUAAGACAGCCCGCGCAUUCCUUCUAAUAGCAAUCUCCUCAACAAUUAACUCUGUUGUAUUAAUGUUCUUCUCAAUCCAAAUGAGAAGGGCUGCCAAAUGGAUAGCUUGCGAGUUGAAUUGGGACUGGAAGGUCAGGUGAUGAACUUGCAGGGACUUAGCUUGCAGAUACUUGUGAUGAAUUCGACUACAUCCCUGCAGGGUUUUGCUACCAGUGCCUAUAGGAAGACUGGUCCAGGCACCCGUCAAGCUACUCAUACCUUCUUCAACAGUUCCAUGAUGAUCGCAACUCAAGUUGUUCUUUGGGGAUGAGGUUUAUUAACAAAGUGUAUCGAUUGAGAAACAUUAGGUUGAUCUUACCAGCUGAUGCAGCACCUCUCUUUGUCAAUUUCUCUAGGAGACUUCUGGAGACGUGGCAGGAACUUUGGGGCUUUUUUCCCUUCUCCCCCUCGUGGUGCAUCUUGCGAAACGGAGUGUCUUUGGUUUAUGUGACAGGUGACAUCGAAUGAAGACUUGCACAUUCUGUGUCACAUAUCUGAAACUGUUGGGACUUCUGGGGACGUGUCUGGAACUCUAGGGGCUUCUUUCCCUUCUCCCCCUCGUGGUGCAUCUUGCAAAAGAGUGUCUCUGGUUUGUGUGACAGGUGACUUCGAAUGAAGACUUGCAGAUUCUGUGUGACAUAUCUGAAACUGUCUGAAUGGUGGUUUUGCAUUUAAAAGGCUAUUUUAAAAGUUUGAAUUGAGAAAGAUAUUAAGUCCAUAGGACAAAAAUAACGAGAAUGGUAUUAAGUCCAUAGGACAAUAUAAUGAGAAAGGUAUUAAGUCCAUAGAACAAAAAUAAUGAGAAAGGUAUUAAGUCCUUAGGACAAAUAUAAUGCGAAAAGAGUGUCUUUGGUUUAUUUGAGAGGGGACUCCGAACAGUGACUGUGCCUCUGGUGCGAAUGGAUGCCUUGGUUUGAGGCGGGGUUGUCCUGCUUCUUCAGUGAUGACCAUACACGAGUAUUACUUGGGAGUCACUCUACUUAAGACAGCCCGCGCCUUCCUUUUAAUAGCAAUCUUCUCAAUAAUUACCUCUGUUGUAUUAAUGUUCUUCUCAAUCCAAAUGAGAAGGGCUGCCAAAUGAAUAGCUUGCGAGUUGAAUUGGGACUGGAAGCUCAGGUGAUGAACUUGCAGGGACUUAACUUGCAGAUACUUGUGAUGAAAUUGACUACAUCCCUGCAGGGUUUGGCUACCAGUGCCUAUAGGAAGACUGGUCCAGGCACCCGUCAAGCUACUCUUACCUUCUUCAACAGUACCAUGAUGAUUGCAACUCAAGUUGGUCUUUGGGGUGAGGUUUAUUAACAAAGUGUAUCGAUUGAGAACCAUUAGGUUGAUCUUACCAGCUGUUGCAGCACCUCUCUUUGUCAAUUUCUCUAUGAGACUUCUGGAGACGUGGCAGGAACUUUGGGGCUUCUUUCCCUUCUCUCCCCACAUGGUGCAUCUUGCGAAAAGAGUGUCUUUGGUUUAUGUGAGAGGGGACUCCGAACAGUUGUCCGGCUUCCAUAGUGAUGCCCAUACACGAGUAUUACUUGGGAGUCACUCUACUUAAGACAGCCCGCGCCUUCCUUCUUAUAACAAUCUUCUCAAUAAUUACCUCUGUUGUAUUAAUGUUCUUCUCAAUCCAAAUGAGAAGGGCUGCCAAAUGGAUAGCUUGCCAGUUGAAUUUGGACUGGAAGCUGAGGUGAUGAACUUGCAGGGACUUAGCUUGCAGAUACUUGUGAUGAAUUCGACUACAUCCCUGCAGGGUUUUGCUACCAGUGCCUAUAGGAAGACUGGUCCAGGCACCUGUCAAGCUACUCAUACCUUUUUCAACAGUACCAUGAUGAUCGCAACUCAAGUUGGUCUUUGGGGAUGAGGUUUAUUAACAAAGUGUAUCGAUUGAGAACCAUUAGGUUGAUCUUACCAGCAGUUGCAGCACCUCUCUUUGUCGAUUUCUCUAGGAGACUUCUGGAGACGUGGUAGGAACUUUGGGGCUUCUUUCCCUUCUCCCCCUCGUGGUGCAUCUUGCGAAACGGAGUGUCUUUGGUUUAUGUGACAGGUGACAUCGGAUGAAGACUUGCACAUUCUGUGUCACAUAUCUGAAACUGUCUUAUGUGACAGGUGACAUCGAAUAAAGACUUGCACAUUCUGUGUCACAUAUCUGAAACUGUUGAGACUUCUGGGGACGUGUCUGGAACUCUAGGGGCUUCUUUCCCUUCUCCCCCUCGUGGUGCAUCUUGCAAAAGAGUGUCUCUGGUUUGUGUGACAGGUGACAUCGGAUAAAGACUUGCAGAUUCUGUGUCACAUAUCUGAAACUGUCUGAAUGGUGGUUUUGCAUUUAAAAGGCUACUUUAAAAGUUUGAUUUGAGAAAGAUUUUAAGUCCAUAGGACAAAAAUAAUGAGAAAGGUAUGAAGUCCAUAGGACAAAAAUAAUGAGAUAGGUAUUAAGUUCGUAGGACAAAAAAAAUAAUGGAAUAUUACAAUAUAGUAUAUAUCGUUAAAAUUACUUGACAAAUUGAAUUGUAUUGAAUUGCUAGCUGUCUUUAUAUGUCCUUGGAGCAAAUCAUUUGGACAUCACAUUUGAUCAUUUGGUGCAUCGUUCUAAGGUGUGCAUUGCACCGUUAUCGGUGACGGUUCCAGGACAUUUCUUGCAUGUGGGGGAAGGUGGCUGAGGUGUUGAAGAUAACAGGUGGAGACAAGAAGACGAAAGCAAUGAAUAUUGUAUGACGUCCUUUUGAAGAAAAUAUUUUGGAAAAGCUAUGAACCUAAAGUCUACAGCAGUCCCGAAACGUACCUCACGGUACGUCAGACGAUUGGACGAUCUCCGUGUAGAAACGGGCUGUAAACCCUUCGGAAAAGUGCCCGUUGAUGAGUUCGACGAACAGUAAAUUAAAGGUCCAAUCAUUGUCAAGCUCGGCACGAGGGGAUGCCAAAGUUUAAAGGUACAGAGGUAACGACAAUUAACAGAAUAGACCAUGAACGAGUCAGAAUACGUUUCGCAGGAGGAAUAGGUAUAACGAACACCUUUAUAAAAAGGGCCUUGGGACUUUACAAAUUAGCAUGUUAUACAAAAUGUGGUAGGUACUUUGUAUUAACAGUAAUGGAAAACAAAGAAACACAAAGACUUGGGACCUAAACGUUUGCUUGUUAUAAGCAGGAUGUUGUAUUAACAGUGCUCUUCUCAAGUUCUAAGGCAUCGACUAUAUUCAUCGAGCUCAUGCAUAUUUGAAGAAAAUGAGUGAGGGCUCAUGUACCUGUUUGUA
RNAcentral lists this long non-coding RNA (13581 nucleotides) under Patiria miniata (bat star). Its description in RNAcentral is "uncharacterized LOC119735479". The record is from RNAcentral. Lineage: Eukaryota; Metazoa; Echinodermata; Asteroidea; Valvatida; Asterinidae.